CACGAAUUGAUUAUAAACAUUUUAAAAAGAUCAAUCGCAAAUGAGUUAGCAAUACAAUACAGCUGGGCCGGAAAAUUAAAGAAAAUGGGAUUUAAGGAUCUGCUGCUUUCGAAAUGUAUUAUGCGAGCUGUGCGUAUUACGGACGAUAAAGUAACUGACAAAGACAUGAUACAAAACAUAUCUAAAUGGCUCGUACAAGCCACAUUAAGAUAUGAACGCAGCCUCGAACCAAAGAAAACGUAAGUUUUUAGAAAUUGGAUUAAAUUAAUAAAUUUUUGAAAGAUAUUGAACAAUAUAAUGUUAAUUUUCUACAAAUUUGCUGUAUAAUUGGAUUUAUUAAUAACUUAAUAUAAAAACGGAGUUUAUACACAAAAAAUCGGCCUUUAA
This is a long non-coding RNA of Solenopsis invicta (red fire ant), 387 nucleotides long. RefSeq lists it as uncharacterized. Lineage: Eukaryota; Metazoa; Arthropoda; Insecta; Hymenoptera; Formicidae. The transcript is spliced from 2 exons. The record is from RefSeq and is a predicted model, not a curated record.